Molecule: ribosomal RNA, 514 nt
Filed under: uncultured bacterium
Lineage: Bacteria
Description: partial 16S ribosomal RNA
Rfam family: Bacterial small subunit ribosomal RNA
Source: RNAcentral
AACGAACGCUGGCGGCGGGCCUAACACAUGCAAGUCGAACGAGAAAGCACCUGCUUGCAGGAGCGAGUAAAGUGGCGCACGGGUGAGUAACGCGUGGUUAAUCUGCCUUUGAGUGGGGAAUAACGUACCGAAAGGUGCACUAAUACCGCAUAAGACCACAGUAUCUGCGGAUACAGGGGUCAACGGGGGCUUCGGCUCCCGCUUAAAGAUGAGACCGCGUCCCAUUAGCUUGUUGGUGAGGUAACGGCUCACCAAGGCCGCGAUGGGUAGCUGAUCUGAGAGGAUGAUCAGCCACCCUGGAACUGACACACGGUCCAGACUCCUACGGGAGGCAGCAGUGAGGAAUAUUGCGCAAUGGGGGAAACCCUGACGCAGCCACGCCGCGUGGGUGACGAAGGCCUUCGGGUUGUAAAGUACUUUCAGCGGGGAGGAAGGGAGUAAAGUUAAUACCUUUACUCAUUGACGUUACCCGCAGAAGAAGCACCGGCUAACUCCGUGCCAGCCGCCGCUGUAA